UCACAGGUCUUAAAUUUUGUGGUGGCAGGACUCUGUCAUACAUUCUACAUAAUUUAAUUUCCUUGCAGGAUUUUGCUAUCGAGGAAACAUUUAGUCGUGCCCAGACAUCUUCAUUGCUUUCUGAGGCUCCCACUAACUAGCUGCUAGCAUGCAUGUGCUAUCUAGAAAACUAGUGUAAAUUUAUCACUAGUUUGCUGAAGGAUGUUUGUCUUAGCCUCUGGCUCAUUUCUGUUGCCUCUCCAUAUGUCCAUUCAGUGCAAAAUAAUUAAGCAUUACUACGAUGUAAAAUAUUUAGUUUUCUUUUGUACAUUUGUGUCAUGAUACAGAUCUUAAAUUGUAUUCAUAAUGGUCUUAAAAAGAUCUUAAACCUACAGAAACUGUUUAUUUAUUAUCAGAUUGAGCUUCUGCUCCAGAUUCACAGCCACAUUCUGGGUUAAAGGAUGAAAGCAGGACCUUCAGACUAGCAGUAAACACUGAUCAACAUUCACUUUGUCAGUCGUUGGCCCCUGCAAAGAGUGACGCAGAAUUUCCCUCUACAUAAACACAUGAACACCAGACAGCAGACGCUGCAGAGAAGCUGCUGUUAGAUGUUAACAUCUGGAAUGGUUGAACUGGAGACCUAAAAUCUCUCCUCCAGGAUGACUCUAGCAGGCUUUGCCAUCCAGGCGUACCGUGGAGCCCAGAAGCCGACUCCCAUGGAGGUGAUGAAGUCGCAGGCCACGCGGCUGGCUGACAACCCCCAGAGGGUGUCCCCGCCCAAAAUGGAGAUCCCCACGGUGGAGGGCCGGCGGCAGGGAGCGCGGCCACACAAGCUCAAACACCGAGACAUGAACAUCCUGACGCCGUCCGGCUUCUGAGACAAUCGCCGUUAAUACGACCAAGGUCCCACGACAUGACAAAACCACCCUAGAGUCCCUCAUUUUACUGUUCACAUUCCCUUAUUGUUCAGGUUCAACAGAAACAUGAGUCUUACCGUUUCCAAAGAAAUUCUUUUUGUGCUUGCUGCUCAUUUGAUGUUUAUAUUUUCUAUAUAUCAUUAAUAAAAUAAACUCCAGUCAGACUGAAAGCAUUUUAAACCCCCCUAAGUUUUAUUUAUUUAUUCAGGAGGAAUUCAAAAUUUAUUGAAAUCCAUUGAGUUUGUAACUUCAUGUGAGAAUUGUGACCAUCUAUCAUAACUGUAACGUCAAACAAGUGGGUAGCUGAACUCCAGCUGAAGGAUUUUCAGAACCAGAGCUCUAAAGUUCAGCCGUUCGGCAGCUCAGACUGGGUUCAUGCUAGAACAUAUAGCUUCAGUUUGCUAAUCUGUAAAAAUAAUGUUAAAUAUUUUCUUCUCUCAUGUUUUUGGUUUAUGUCGCCUUGUUUAUUAUGUUGAUCAUUUUUAACCAGCUUUUUUUGUUUGUUUUACAAAAAAUAGCUAGCAUGAAAAACAUUGUUUCACCUUAGGAUUAAUUCACCCUCGUUUCAUCCCUUCCUGCUUCACACUCAUGUACAUUACUCAUUUUUGGUUGUUUAUAUUUUUAGUCAAGUAUUUUCAUGAAUAAUGCAGAUAAAUGUGCAUAAAAAGUCAAAUCACAUGUAAAAUGUAAUCUAAUUCCGCUUUAUUUCAUCUUAUUUCCAUUAAUCCUUAUGAAAUAUGACAUCAAUGCUCCGAUCAAACCAAAAUAACUCAGAGAAACUUUUUAUGUUGGAUGUUAUUUGAGUCACAUUUCCUGAGCAUUAGAGCCGUUGCAGAUGAAAGAUGAAAUGAAAGACAUAAUGUGGCCAAACUCAGAAAUUCUUAUAUUAUCUUCACAUAUUUAUGAGAAAACAAUUAGAUAUUCUCCAAUGUUGAAUGUAGAAUGCUAACACAGGAAAAAAAUUAAGUAAUUCUACACGAUUAAGGCAUAAAUUGUGAUAAUUAAGCUGAUGUAUUUGCUGACUUUAUGUAAUCAGACAUAUGCUACAGAAAAUGCAACAAUUGUACAUUUUUCCUGUAUGUGAACAUCUCCAGUGUUCAGACUCAAUGCAGCUUCCCUCAUACUGUAGAGUUUGUAGUUUUCUGAGCUCAAACUUCUUGUAAAGAAAUUUGAAAUUUUCACAAAUUGAACUCACUUUUCUCCAUUAUUUUUACUGACGACUGCAUUUGAAGGAUUUUGUUUUUUACGUUUUUUGGACUUUAAAAACUGCUGUGUGUAUUUUCUGCAUCUCACAGAAACCUUGUCACUUAUUUUAUAUAUAUAUAUAUUUAAACACUUCAAAUAUUUUCUCCCUAAAUAACAAACUAUGGCCUUACUGCCAAGUUAUCUUAAUUUAGGCAAGUUAUUUGCUGUGCUGCCUGGUUUGCAGAUGAUGGCUAACAUAAUAUAUAAAAGUUUCUGUAAGAUUACACGUGCAAAGCAUCUUCAUUAAGCACUUUUGACCAUAAAGUGAACCUUUUUUCUUCUUAUUACUAUUUUCUGGUAAUAAAAUAAAAUAAAUCCUGAAAGUUUACCACUUGUAACUGCUGUGGUGAUAUUCAGAUGCUGUCAUUCUGUGUGGUCACUAACUGUUGAUAUUUGAUGUACUUUCCAUUUGUUAAAGAUGAGUCUAUAGUACUUGUGUUUACAGGUGCUCAGUGGUCAGUGUGAUACUCUCCCCCUUUAAUCAGACUGAAGCAUCAGUUUAAUGUUCUGUCUGUAGGCAUGACUCAGUCCUGAUAGAAAGUUUCUGUCAGUUCAGUGAUUUUUAUUUUAUAUUUCUUUUCGAUUUUUUUUCUUUUUUACUGUCUGUACAGUUUAGUUCACGUUGCUGGCACAGUUUGACAAUAAAUAUUUCAUCCUCUGUGGAAAAU
Long non-coding RNA from Poecilia latipinna (sailfin molly), 2809 nucleotides. RefSeq lists it as uncharacterized. The transcript has 2 exons. Lineage: Eukaryota; Metazoa; Chordata; Actinopteri; Cyprinodontiformes; Poeciliidae. The record is from RefSeq and is a predicted model, not a curated record.